UACGUAGGGGGCAAGCGUUGUCCGGAUUUAUUGGGCGUAAAGAGCGUGUAGGCGGUUAGGUAGGUCCGUUGUGAAAACUCGAGGCUCAACCUCGAGACGUCGGUGGAAACUGCCUCGCUAGAGUCCGGAAGAGGAGAGUGGAAUUCCUGGUGUAGCGGUGAAAUGCGCAGAUAUCAGGAGGAACACCAAUGGCGAAGGCAGCACUCUGGGACGUGACUGACGCUGAGACGCGAAAGCGUGGGGAGCAAACAGG
Molecule: ribosomal RNA, 253 nt
Filed under: uncultured bacterium
Lineage: Bacteria
Description: partial 16S ribosomal RNA
Rfam family: Bacterial small subunit ribosomal RNA
Source: RNAcentral